UGGGGAAUAUUGCACAAUGGGCGAAAGCCUGAUGCAGCAACGCCGCGUGAGUGAUGAAGGCCUUCGGGUUGUAAAGCUCUGUCUUUUGGGACGAUAAUGACGGUACCAAAGGAGGAAGCCACGGCUAACUACGUGCCAGCAGCCGCGGUAAUACGUAGGUGGCAAGCGUUGUCCGGAUUUACUGGGCGUAAAGGAUGCGUAGGCGGAUUUUUAAGUGAGAUGUGAAAUACCCGGGCUUAACUUGGGUGCUGCAUUUCAAACUGGGAAUCUAGAGUGCGGGAGAGGAGAAUGGAAUUCCUAGUGUAGCGGUGAAAUGCGUAGAGAUUAGGAAGAACACCAGUGGCGAAGGCGAUUCUCUGGACCGUAACUGACGCUGAGGCAUGAAAGCGUGGGUAGCAAACAGGAUUAGAUACCCUGGUAGUCCACGCCGUAAACGAUGAGUACUAGGUGUAGGAGGUAUCGACCCCUUCUGUGCCGCAGUUAACACAAUCAAGUACUCCGCCUGGGAAGUACGAUCGCAAGAUUAAAAC
Molecule: ribosomal RNA, 530 nt
Filed under: uncultured bacterium
Lineage: Bacteria
Description: partial 16S ribosomal RNA
Rfam family: Bacterial small subunit ribosomal RNA
Source: RNAcentral